GGAUGGUCCCAGUGCAGUGGUGGUUACAACUAAUUGAUCACAACCAGUUAGAGUCCUUUGUUCCUUCUUCAUUCCCACUGCUUCCCUUAACUAGCCUUAA
RNAcentral lists this Y RNA (100 nucleotides) under Prolemur simus (greater bamboo lemur). RNAcentral's name for it is "Y RNA (ENSPSMG00000012182.1)". It matches the Rfam family "Y RNA". Rfam says of the family: Y RNAs are components of the Ro ribonucleoprotein particle (Ro RNP), in association with Ro60 and La proteins. The Y RNAs and Ro60 and La proteins are well conserved, but the function of the Ro RNP is not known. The record is from Rfam by way of RNAcentral. Lineage: Eukaryota; Metazoa; Chordata; Mammalia; Primates; Lemuridae.